Non-coding RNA from Pelobates cultripes (western spadefoot toad), 233 nucleotides. NCBI's taxonomy places the organism in Eukaryota, Metazoa, Chordata, Amphibia, Anura, Pelobatidae. The record is from the annotation of a GenBank genome assembly.
GGGAUGUCCUGAUAUGUGUGUAAGGAAUGCAUUGUGUGAAAUUGUGUUUGUAUGUGUAAGGGCUGCAAGGUGUGUUUCUGUGUAUGUAUGGGAUGCAUUGAAUGUGUGUAAGGGGUGCAUUGAGUGUGUGUAAUGAAUGCAUUGUGUGUUUAUGUGUGUGUAAGGGAUGCAUUGUGUGUAACGGUUGCAUUGCUUGUGUAUGUGUGUCUGUGUGUGUAAUGCAUUGUGUGUUU